RNAcentral lists this ribosomal RNA (562 nucleotides) under Colletotrichum gloeosporioides. RNAcentral's name for it is "eukaryotic LSU rRNA". The stretch from base 189 to 342 matches the Rfam family "5.8S ribosomal RNA". Lineage: Eukaryota; Fungi; Ascomycota; Sordariomycetes; Glomerellales; Glomerellaceae. The record is from RNAcentral.
AAGCCACCAGAGUACUUCUGAGUUUCGCUCUAUACCCUUUGUGAACAUACCUAUAACUAGUUGCUUCGGCGGGUAGGGUCUCCGUGACCCUCCCGGCCUCCCGGCCCCGGGCGGGUCGGCGCCCGCCGGAGGAUAACCAAACUCUGAUUUAACGACGUUUCUUCUGAGUGGUACAAGCAAAUAAUCAAAACUUUUAACAACGGAUCUCUUGGUUCUGGCAUCGAUGAAGAACGCAGCGAAAUGCGAUAAGUAAUGUGAAUUGCAGAAUUCAGUGAAUCAUCGAAUCUUUGAACGCACAUUGCGCCCGCCAGCAUUCUGGCGGGCAUGCCUGUUCGAGCGUCAUUUCAACCCUCAAGCUCUGCUUGGUGUUGGGGCCCUACAGCUGAUGUAGGCCCUCAAAGGUAGUGGCGGACCCUCCCGGAGCCUCCUUUGCGUAGUAACUUUACGUCUCGCACUGGGAUCCGGAGGGACUCUUGCCGUAAAACCCCCCAAUUUUCCAAAGGUUGACCUCGAUUCAGGUAGAAAUACCCGCUGACCUUACCAUAUCAUUUAGACAAGAGGA